CCUACGGGAGGCAGCAGUGAGGAAUCUUGGUCAAUGGACGAGAGUCUGAACCAGCCAAGUAGCGUGAAGGAUGACUGCCCUAUGGGUUGUACACUUCUUUUAUAUGGGAAUAAAAUGUUCCACGUGUGGGUUUUUGUAUUUACCAUAUGAAUAAGGAUCGGCUAACUCCGUGCCAGCCGCGGCGGUAAUACGGAGGGUCCGAGCGUUAUCCGGAUUUAUUGGGUUUAAAGGGAGCGCAGGUGGGUUGUUAAGUCAGUUGUGAAAGUUUGCGGCUCAACCGGAAAAGUGCAGUUGAAACUGGCAGUCUUGAGUACAGUAGAGGUGGGCGGAAUUCGUGGUGUAGCGGUGAAAUGCUUAGAUAUCACGAAGAACUCCGAUUGCGAAGGCAGUUCACUGGACUGCAACUGACACUGAGGCUCGAAAGUGUGGGUAUCAAACAGGAUUAGAUACCCUUGUAGUC
This 460-nucleotide ribosomal RNA is filed under the name uncultured bacterium. Its description in RNAcentral is "partial 16S ribosomal RNA". It matches the Rfam family "Bacterial small subunit ribosomal RNA", at positions 338 to 795 of the family's 1533-position model. The record is from RNAcentral.